This 305-nucleotide ribosomal RNA is filed under the name uncultured bacterium. RNAcentral's name for it is "bacterial SSU rRNA". It matches the Rfam family "Bacterial small subunit ribosomal RNA", at positions 338 to 640 of the family's 1533-position model. The record is from RNAcentral.
CCUACGGGGCGCAGCAGUGAGGAAUAUUGGUCAAUGGCCGAGAGGCUGAACCAGCCAAGUCGCGUGAGGGAAGAAUGUCCUAUGGAUUGUAAACCUCUUUUGUCAGGGAGCAAAGUCACCCACGUGUGGGUGUUGGAGAGUACCUGAAGAAAAAGCAUCGGCUAACUCCGUGCCAGCAGCCGCGGUAAUACGGAGGAUGCGAGCGUUAUCCGGAUUUAUUGGGUUUAAAGGGAGCGUAGACGGCUGUACAAGUCUGAAGUGAAAGCCCGUGGCUCAACCGCGGAACUGCUUUGGAAACUGUAAAG